CGGAGCUGCGCUACAAGAGCCCGUCACGCUAAGUAGGCGAAUGCAGCCUUUGAAAGCACUAAGAGAAGUACCCGUGUGGACAGUGUUAAUAAUUGAGCUGUUGGUGGAACGACCAGCGUGUGUCGUGAGGCUCCCGUGAGGCGCCUGCUGUCCUCACCCGCUCUGCGUGGAGAGGGUCGUAGGGCCGGAGCGAUACCGCUGAGUCCUCAGCACCACUCUGCAGGAAAAGGUUUGGAAAGCAAAAGCAGGCAGAGCACUCCAGGAGGGAGCAGAGAGUCGUCGGGAAGGAAGAAAGCACGAGGUAAAGUUUUCAAGAACUAGAGAUCAUCAUCCUAAAAAAGAGGAAGCAAAGGGGAACUUAGUAGUGGCAGUCAAAACCAUGGAAGUCUCAGGUAAAGAAAAAGAAAAGCUAGACCAGUUCUCUGUGGAUUUGAAGAUAACAAGUGUUUUAUUUGGAACAAGAAGGAUUGCCAUCACCUAUUAGGAAAAAAUGGUGAACUGUCCUUCGGUGAAGGUGGAGCUACUCAGUGCUAGAAAAAGCUGGGAGCAUAACAGGGCUUUUCUCUUGGGCUCAGCUGCUCUUAGGCUUCUCCAUUCUGCCAGUAAACAUGUCCUGACAUUUUAAACUAUUAUUAGAAUAUGUAACAAUUUUGAAUAUGUGGUAUUGAGAGUGACUACUUCUUGAGCUGUUGUGUGCCAGAAGUGGUAUAUUUCAUUGGGUUUUUAUUUAAGUUGGAAGUAAUGUCUUUGACCUUUCUAAGUAAUUAUAAAGCCGUUUUUCCUUUGAACCUUCAUUGCAGGCAUGGGUUAUUAGGAGACAGAAGCCAGUGUAAAGAAGAAGUAAAUUAGGAUUUAGGGUUUUUUAUGACUAAGAAGAGUGAUAAAAGCCUGCUCUUAGUCAGUAGCAUGUUUUCUUACUGAAGUACAAAGUAAGAGUACUUAGAGUAGCAAGUAAAUAGUUAAAUUUGAGGAAGCAUAGGCUUGCAUGAGACUAAUGUACCAUUUACAUCCCUCCUAAAGUUUCAGAAUAAUAAAUUUAAUGUGUGCUAUAGUGCUUUCUUCUGUCGAUAACUGCCAUAUGGAUGGCUUAAAACCAGCCUUGAAUCAAUUCUGGAUUGACAUAAUCAAUCAAGCUGGGAAUAAGCUCACAAGAACAAUACAACACUGUCAACCACUCGGUGACAGCACAAACAGCUUUGCGAACUAGAACAAUGUGGAGGCAGAACACAAUGCCCUGCAGUGCAGAUCUUGGCCCCAAGACCAGCCCACUAUGUUUCCAGGACCAUGCUGCAGGAAUAUAGCAUUGAAAAGUAAAUCCCUGCUUGGCUGUUUUAAAAGGUGCUAUUAUAUCUGCUGCUACUUUUACUAGUACUUAAAGAAGAGAUCCUGCUCUCACCAACCUACACACACCUCUGCACUCCCAUCUCCUGCUUCCCCCUUUCCCCUUUGCUGGUUCCAUUUUACUGCACAGUGAGUCAGUUCAGGUCACUAAUCUGGCAGAAAACAAAUUCAGCGAUAAAAAAAAAGAGAAAUAGUUUUUCAGCAGAUUAGUGACUUGGACAAGCUCAUUAUGUGAUGAGUACCAGAGCAUGAUCUGGAAAGAAGUGAAGACAGUGGCCUGAAGUAGAAGUUCUCUACACUGGGAAGUAGAAUCCAUUAUUUUGAAGGCAACAAGCCUGCUUAGGUGAGUUCAGCUGUAACACAUAAGCCCAAGGACAUGCUGCAUGUGUACAUGUAGCUACAUGUACGUGUACAUGUGCUGCACUACGUGUAGUACAUGUGCACUACAGGAAGGGAAUAAAUUCUGUUUGCUUGUCUGUCCUUUCAGAGGUGCUCACAAUACUACACAUCAUGUUGUGACCGUGUACUCACAAUAAAUAUUUGGACUGUUAGUUGUUUUGAAACCCUCUAAUUAGUAUCUGUGAGACUGGGUAAAAUAAGCAGACAUUUCCCAUUUCUCAGGAGACUGCCAGAAUUAUGGUGAUUUCCUGUUGCCCCUCAGUGUGCACCACACUCAAAAUCUGUGUGAUCCACAUCAAAAUGUGUACUCUGCCAUAGGAGGUUGCUCCUGGGGUGGUGUGGGUGUGUCUUUAAUUUUCCACAUCCCCUCCAGGACAGGCUCCCUAGCAGCCUACUCACAGCAUUGUCCACAAAGUCAGAUUCAUUACCUGAUGUGCAACAAGCCUAUAGUUACACACGCAAAGGAGGUGCCCUACUUUAAUUGAUAAAAGAUAUGUCCUGCCUAGGAGGUGGAGAACAACUCUGAAAAGGGUGUGUCCUAUUAAAAACAUUAUAGUAUUGUAAGUAAGCACCAUCUGUUUUACUUGAGAGGUGACCAGUUUAGGACUAGGCAGUCUCAUAAAAAGCAGUUAUUCAUUGUAUUCUAAUGAGUAUGAUCCUGAAUGAGAGGGGGGCCAUCCAUAUCACCAUCACCGUCAUCUCAUUCCACAGGAGUGCAAAUCCUGUUGGAUGCUAUUAAAGGCAGGGAAUAAGAUAAAAUCCUUUCCUUCUCUGUGAAGCAGUCCAGUGGCAGUGUCCUGCACUGUAGCUGUGACACUGCAGCUGAUUUAUUUUCAGCUAGUGGAAUUGAAUUUUUUUUUUUGUGUUCUCAUGGAAUGCAUCUGAUAUUUCGAUGCAUAUCUAUGUAGAGAAGAUGCAUAUUUGGAGAGGAAAUUUAACAUUUACAUAAAUGUCAGCAGCUAAAUUUAUUUUUUUUUGUAUUUUGAAAACUAACUGUUGUGAUGCAGAGCACAGUAAGCUAUUAAAGCUCAUUGUGCGUAAGCAGGACUAAUAUUUUGUUUUCAACUUCAUAUGAUUAUUGUGAAGCUGCAUAAGUAAAAAGAGUAUUGAGUUCCUAAAUGCAGACUUUUGUUAAGUGUAUACUUAAUUUUCUGUGACAAUCAGCACAAAAAUAAUAAGUACAAUAAUUGUCUUGUAAAAAGCAUAUGAAAUGUGAAACUGAGGUGCUCUGGAUGCUGUUAGGAAAAAAUGGGGGACAUAAGUAGUUUGGGAAUUAAGGUAGAGCUUCUCUGCAUGGGAAUUGAUUGUUUCUCCUUGUUCUGACCUCAUCACUCCUGCUGCACCUGAAAUCUGUUCAGAGGCACAGAGCAGCCAGUUAUUUCUCACCUCGCUGUGACCUGUGCAGUCAAAAGCUGCCUUUUUGGUGCAACAGAAAACAGCUCUUGCAGAAGCACACAGUACUGAGACCAGUACUUAUGUUGGGAAAUUCAGCUUUCUCCCACCACCUGUCAGUCUUUACCUUUUUGUUUGAAUAUUGUCUGCUCCUGAAUGUUCUCAUUUCCAAACUGAUGGAAGCAUGAGUCUCCAUAGAGCAAAGUACUUAGCAGUAGACCUGGUUAGAAGCUUUUUAGAUGGAAGUCAGAGGGAGAUUUGUGUUUAUUUAUUUAGGACUUCUGUGGUCUUAGCAGAAAGUGACAGCAGUCUCAGCAACAGAAAAUCACAACGACUCUGGCAGUCUCCUGAGAAAUGGGAAAUGCAGGGUAGGGCCUGCUUUCCCAGGUUCCAACAAGAAUCCUAAUGGGAAUCUACUAGAAAAAGGGAUCACGUUGCCGAAGUCCCAGUGGUCUGAUAGCAGUGGCAGUGCUGCUCAGACUCUGCAGAGCCCUAGAUGGAAGCACCAAGUGCACUGUCAGUGUUGCCUGGUGUGCCUUUGGGGUGUGUAUGUACAGAGGGCUGGGAGCCAGCGUACUGGGAGAUGGACACUAGGAACUAGUAUCUGGGGUUUGAUGCUCAUAAAACAAACACUGACGGAGACAGACCAGAAAGAAUAAGAAAAGCAUUAUGGACUGAAACAAGAUUCUUUAUUUCAGUGUGAUACAAAGAAAUGGGAGUUACUUUGCUUUGACUGACAGUACCGAAACAAAAAAAAACAAAGCAGAUAAAAUACAUUUGUGUAGUACUAGGAAUCCUUGGAUAUCAAAGCAAUGAAAAAUUACAGCUAUUAUGCUUCAGAAUUCAAAUAAAUAUUUACAUAUCUUUAAACUAAUGCAUUACUGCCUUGAUUUACGUUAUAUCACUGGUAACUUAGUUUCCAGCAGUAUAAUGCUGUCUUAGCCAUCAGUCCUUUAGCCAGUGAUUUAUGUUUAAAAUGCAUUGAUACCAAAGUAACACUCUACACCAAGCCAGCUCUCCAAAAUGCCAGCAAAAUCUGUCUUUUUUUCUUCCAAAAGAAUGAAUUUGAUCCAUUUUGUUAAUUACAUUGACCUUUGAUUAUUUGUAGUAAUAUUGUAAAUAUUGGGCCCAGUUCACAAUCAAGUAGUAUGAACUUGUUGAAUUAAGGUUAUGAGAAAGUAUUUUUUAAAGAAAAAAAAAGAUUGCUACACCAAACAUAAUGGCUGCUCAGGAUUUGACUUUUUCAAUUACAGGAAUGUUUUUCAGCUUCAGUUUGUUUUCCUGUUAGAUGCAGAUGAUGUUUUUCAGGUAAUUUUUUUUUUUGUAUUAGAUGUAGAUUAUUUAUAUUUAUGAAGCUACUAAAGCAGACUGACAUAGUGGUUUUCAGCAGAGUCAAUACAUUUACUGAUUCAGGGAUGCUUUUCUAAUAAAUAAACAUUAAUUACACAGGUAUUGCUGUGAACCAAGCCAAUUGUCCAAAGGAAGCACAUUUCUUGCCUAAUUAAAAGUCUUUACAUAGGAAUAUGUUUUUUAUAAAAUAAUAAAUAAAUAAAAAAAUAAUCAAAUAGCUGCUGUGCAAAUUAUUAAAAUCAUGUGCCUUCCUGCUCACACUUUGUACCAACACACAAAAAAAAAGCAGUAAAAUGUAACGCCAUUUAGAAAAUAGUGUGUAAAAAAGGUAAGUAUUUCCUAGCACUGUGCUGGGACAUCUUUCUUCCUUUGGUGGGGAGGAAGAUAAAGGUGUGAGUAAUGUAAUAGCUUCCCUCUCAUGCAAGUGUUCAAAGAAAAUCAACAGAUACUUUCACAGGUGCAUUUGGGGGAAAAGGUGGUCUUUUUUUUGCAUUUAUAGUCUUCUCCCAAACUAUAGUGGAUAAAGACUGUAUAAGAUUUCUGUUCUGCUAUAAGUUAUGGGUUUGGCCUGCUUUUUCAAGGCAAACUCAAUGAGUGUCUCCUAAAAUCAUGUUAAAAAGGAACAUCUUUAUUAAAGUGUUCGUGUAGUGUGUAUGCAUGUGUCAUGAUUUUCAACAGCCUUUCCAGAACAGCGUUUCUAGUGACUGCAGUUGUUAAUGCUGCUGAGCGGUCCUUUUCUCAUGAUUUGGAAGUGGUGAGCUUUAGCCACAGCACAAUCUCCAAGCUCCCCCGUGUGGCACCACAAAUUUUGUUGUGCAAGGAACACACUUUGCUUUGAGGAAUUCAUAAGAAAGAACUCUGAACUUUGAGAAAGUACUUGAGCCUAUGCUGGAAUGAUUUGGAUACAGCUCAUCCUCCUGAGCAGACCUCUGCAUCAGAGCAGGUAAGCCCAGGGGUUUUGCUUGUGUAGCUAGGUCUAGCUUAAGUUCUUUUGAGUAGAGGUGAGGUGACAAACUGGGGAAGCAUGAGUGAAGGAGGAUGUGUGCCACAUCAUUAUUUAAGUGUAUUUUCUUUUUAAACAGUAAAGUCGUGUAGACCUUCAAGACUUAA
Non-coding RNA from Taeniopygia guttata (zebra finch), 5592 nucleotides. NCBI's taxonomy places the organism in Eukaryota, Metazoa, Chordata, Aves, Passeriformes, Estrildidae. The record is from RefSeq and is a predicted model, not a curated record.